Ochotona curzoniae (black-lipped pika) is the source of this 101-nucleotide long non-coding RNA. RefSeq lists it as uncharacterized. The record is from RefSeq and is a predicted model, not a curated record. The transcript has 3 exons. NCBI's taxonomy places the organism in Eukaryota, Metazoa, Chordata, Mammalia, Lagomorpha, Ochotonidae.
GAUUGCUUAUCCCAGCAUGACCUGCAUUCCAGCCUAGUUUCUGCACUUGCCAGUGAACUAAGGUUUGCUUAGCCUUGCCCAGUCUGCUCCCUUCCAAAACC